This 492-nucleotide ribosomal RNA is filed under the name uncultured bacterium. RNAcentral describes it as "partial 16S ribosomal RNA". It matches the Rfam family "Bacterial small subunit ribosomal RNA", at positions 29 to 507 of the family's 1533-position model. The record is from RNAcentral.
AGUGAACGCUGGCGGUAGGCCUAACACAUGCAAGUCGAACGGCAGCACAGUAAGAGCUUGCUCUUACGGGUGGCGAGAGGCGGACGUGUGAGGAAUACAUCGGAAUCUACUUUUUCGGGGGGGAUAACGUAGGGAAACUUACGCUAAUACCGCAUACGACCUACGGGUGAAAGCAGUGGAACUUCUCACCUUGCGGGAAUGAAUGAGCCGAUGUUGGAGUAGCUAGUUGGCGGGGGUAAGGCCCACCAAGGCGACGAUCCGUAGCUGGUCUGAGAGGAUGAUCAGCCACACUGGAACUGAGACACGGUCCUGACUCCUACGGGAGGCAGCAGUGGGGAAUAUUGGACAGAGGGCGCAAGCCUGAUCCAGCCAUCCCGCGUGGGUGAAGAAGGCCUUCGGGUUGUAAAGCCCUUUUGUUGGGAAAGAAAGGCAGCAGGUUAAUACCCCGCUGUUCUGACGGUACCCAAAGAAUAAGCACCGGCUAACUUCGUG